GAAAGUAUAGCUCAGUGGUAGAGCACUUGCCUAGCAUGCAAGAGGCCCUAGGCUUGCUCUCC
This 62-nucleotide transfer RNA is filed under the name Heterocephalus glaber (naked mole-rat). It matches the Rfam family "tRNA". Rfam says of the family: Transfer RNA (tRNA) molecules are approximately 80 nucleotides in length. Their secondary structure includes four short double-helical elements and three loops (D, anti-codon, and T loops). Lineage: Eukaryota; Metazoa; Chordata; Mammalia; Rodentia; Bathyergidae. The record is from Rfam by way of RNAcentral.